GACGAACGCUGGCGGCGUGCUUAACACAUGCAAGUCGAACGGAAAGGCCCUGCUUUUGUGUGGUGCUCGAGUGGCGAACGGGUGAGUAACACGUGAGUAACCUGCCUCUGACUGUGGGACAACUUCAGGAAACUGGGGCUAAUACCGGAUAGGAGCACCUGCUGCAUGGUGGGGGUGGGAAAGGUUCGGCGGUUGGGGAUGGACUGGCGGCUUAUCAGUUUGUUGGUGGGGUAGUGGCUUACCAAGGCUUUGACGGGUAGCCGGCCUGAGAGGGUGACCGGCAACAUUGGGACUGAGCUACGGCCCAGACUCCUACGGGAGGCAGCGGUGGGGAAGAUUGCACAAUGGGCGGAAGCCUGAUGCAGCAACGCCGCGUGGGGGAUAACGGCCUUCGGGUUGUAAACCGCUUUCGCCUGUGACGAAGCGUGAGUGACGGUAAUGGGUAAAGAAGCACCGGCUAACUACGUG
This 468-nucleotide ribosomal RNA is filed under the name uncultured bacterium. RNAcentral's name for it is "partial 16S ribosomal RNA". It matches the Rfam family "Bacterial small subunit ribosomal RNA", at positions 28 to 507 of the family's 1533-position model. The record is from RNAcentral.